GAUAAACGCUGGCGGCGUGCCUAACACAUGCAAGUCGAACGAUGAAGAUUAAAAGAUUUCUUCGGAAUGAACUUAAUUGGAUUAGUGGCGGACGGGUGAGUAACGCGUGAGUAACCUGCCUUGUACAAGGGGAUAGCCGUUGGAAACGACGAAUAAUACCCUAUGACAUCAAAUAAUCGCAUGAUAAUUUGAUCAAAGAUUUAUCGGUAUAAGAUGGACUCGCGUCUGAUUAGCUAGUUGGUAGAGUAAAAGCCUACCAAGGCAACGAUCAGUAGCCGGCUUGAGAGAGUGUACGGCCACAUUGGGACUGAGACACGGCCCAGACUCCUACGGGAGGCAGCAGUGGGGAAUUUUGCACAAUGGGGGAAACCCUGAUGCAGCGACGCCGCGUGAUUUAGAAGGCCUUCGGGUUGUAAAAAUCUUUUGUAUGGGAAGAAAAUGACAGUACCAUACGAAUAAGAACCGGCUAAUUACGUG
RNAcentral lists this ribosomal RNA (477 nucleotides) under uncultured bacterium. Its description in RNAcentral is "partial 16S ribosomal RNA". It matches the Rfam family "Bacterial small subunit ribosomal RNA", at positions 28 to 507 of the family's 1533-position model. The record is from RNAcentral.